GCCUUCGUGGUGUAAUGGUCAGCACAGCUGAGCCGGUAUUUCAGAGGUCCGCGGUUCGAUUCCCGGCGAAGGCG
RNAcentral lists this transfer RNA (74 nucleotides) under Stegodyphus mimosarum. It matches the Rfam family "tRNA". From Rfam's summary of the family: Transfer RNA (tRNA) molecules are approximately 80 nucleotides in length. Their secondary structure includes four short double-helical elements and three loops (D, anti-codon, and T loops). The record is from Rfam by way of RNAcentral. Lineage: Eukaryota; Metazoa; Arthropoda; Arachnida; Araneae; Eresidae.